GGGUGUGUAACAAUAAGGUUGCUCGAGUACUGUAGAGCCGGCGUUUGAGGGGUGGUUGCCGGCGUUUGAGGGGAGGUAUAGGAAUGGUAAUGAAGUGGAUUGGAGUUGAAAAUUACUUUCAUAUCUUGUCAAUGAGUUUGAGAUUUGAGUGGGGACUUCUCGUCGAGAAGUAGGUUGAGAUGUGUUUUUCAUGGAGAUUUUUUUUUUAAUUUAUUAUUAUAUAAUAU
Molecule: unclassified non-coding RNA, 227 nt
Filed under: Hevea brasiliensis (rubber tree)
Lineage: Eukaryota; Viridiplantae; Streptophyta; Magnoliopsida; Malpighiales; Euphorbiaceae
Source: RNAcentral